AUUGAACGCUGGCGGCAUGCUUUACACAUGCAAGUCGAGCGGCAGCGCGGGGGGCAACCCUGGCGGCGAGCGGCGAACGGGUGAGUAAUGCAUCGGAACGUACCCUGGAGUGGGGGAUAACGCCGCGAAAGCGGCGCUAAUACCGCAUAUGCUCUGAGGAGGAAAGUGGGGGACCUGCAAGGGCCUCACGCUCUGGGAGCGGCCGAUGUCCGAUUAGCUAGUUGGUGGGGUAAAGGCUUACCAAGGCGACGAUCGGUAGCUGGUCUGAGAGGAUGAUCAGCCACACUGGGACUGAGACACGGCCCAGACUCCUACGGGAGGCAGCAGUGGGGAAUUUUGGACAAUGGGGGCAACCCUGAUCCAGCCAUGCCGCGUGAGUGAAGAAGGCCUUCGGUUGUAAAGGUACUCUUUUGGUUCGGGUAAGGAAAGUAG
This 432-nucleotide ribosomal RNA is filed under the name uncultured bacterium. Its description in RNAcentral is "bacterial SSU rRNA". It matches the Rfam family "Bacterial small subunit ribosomal RNA", at positions 28 to 457 of the family's 1533-position model. The record is from RNAcentral.